AAAUCAUCGUGAUGACUUUCUGGCAUGAUUGGUGGUAAAGGCAGCAGCUUGCUCCAGAACAGGCUGGCGGGCUUAGAUUCUACAGCUCCUAGAUCCCCAGAGAAGCCCAAGGGCUGGCUGGCCUCUGCUCACGCCAACCAGCUGAAGGCCACAGAGACCCUGGCUCUAAACUUUGGAAAACUGAAGCUAAUUGGGACAGGGCUCAAAGAAAAAUCUUUAGCCGAGCAGAGACUGACUUCAUUUCCCAUCCACUGGCCUCCGAGCGCUGCCUGCCUCAUAGGAGAUGCCACAGAAUGUAGGAAAAAAAGCAGCCCUUGGCACACUUCCCAAGGGGCCUGCUUGAGACCCAGCAAGGAAACCAGGAGAUGGGAAAUCAGAUUCUGUCCACUUAGCUGUGCAACCUUAGGCAAGUGACUAGACCUCUCUGACCUUCAGACUGAUAUUUAUUAAAAAAAAAGAUUGUGCCUUUGUUCAA
Molecule: long non-coding RNA, 475 nt
Filed under: Rattus norvegicus (Norway rat)
Lineage: Eukaryota; Metazoa; Chordata; Mammalia; Rodentia; Muridae
Description: long non-coding RNA NONRATT017448
Source: RNAcentral